RNAcentral lists this ribosomal RNA (254 nucleotides) under uncultured bacterium. RNAcentral's name for it is "partial 16S ribosomal RNA". It matches the Rfam family "Bacterial small subunit ribosomal RNA", at positions 15 to 263 of the family's 1533-position model. The record is from RNAcentral.
GAUCUUGGCUCAGGACGAACGCUGGCGGCGCGCCUAACACAUGCAAGUCGAACGAGCGAGAGAGAGCUUGCUUUCUCGAGCGAGUGGCGAACGGGUGAGUAACGCGUGAGGAACCUGCCUCAAAGAGGGGGACAACAGUUGGAAACGACUGCUAAUACCGCAUAAGCCCACGACCCGGCAUCGGGUAGAGGGAAAAGGAGAAAUCCGCUUGUAGAUGCCGUCCGCGCCCGGACUUAGUCUAGUUGGUUGGAGGG